This 649-nucleotide small RNA is filed under the name Pongo abelii (Sumatran orangutan). Its description in RNAcentral is "processed transcript". Lineage: Eukaryota; Metazoa; Chordata; Mammalia; Primates; Hominidae. The record is from RNAcentral.
CGCGGUUGUGUCUGGGAAGGAGAGAAAAUGGCGGCGGAGCCGAACAAGACCGAAAUCCAGACUCUUUUUAAGAGGCUUCGCGCGGUUCCAACCAACAAGGCCUGUUUCGACUGCGGCGCCAAGAAUCCGAGUUGGGCCAGCAUCACGUAUGGUGUUUUCUUGUGCAUUGACUGUUCCGGGGUGCACCGCUCUCUGGGCGUCCAUCUGAGCUUCAUCAGGUCCACAGAGUUGGAUUCCAACUGGAACUGGUUCCAGCUGAGGUGUAUGCAGGUCGGCGGGAAUGCCAAUGCGACGGCUUUUUUCCGCCAACAUGGAUGCACAGCCAAUGAUGCCAACACCAAAUAUAAUAGCCGAGCUGCCCAGAUGUACCGGGAGAAGAUCCGGCAGCUGGGGAGCGCGGCCCUGGCUAGGCACGGCACUGAUCUUUGGAUAGACAACAUGAGUAGUGCCGUUCCUAGUCACUCCCCAGAGAAGAAGGACUCUGAUUUCUUCACAGAACACACUCAAAACUGAAAAGCUCCAUCAUUGGCAAGAAGAAGCCAGCAGCAGCUAAGAAAGGGCUGGGUGCCAAGAAAGGCCUAGGGGCCCAGAAGGUGAGCAGCCAGAGCUUCAGUGAGAUUGAGCGGCAGGCCCAGGUGGCAGAGAAGCU